Molecule: non-coding RNA, 3169 nt
Organism: Chiloscyllium plagiosum (whitespotted bambooshark)
Lineage: Eukaryota; Metazoa; Chordata; Chondrichthyes; Orectolobiformes; Hemiscylliidae
Source: RefSeq, a predicted model, not a curated record
CUGAAUGGCUAAUCUAGAACCUGGCUAAUUGACAGAAAAUUUCCAUCCUUGUGAUAAAACACAUCUAGAUUUUUGUGCUGACAGAAGCAUGGCUUGCAGACAAAGAUAUCUGUCCUGAGAUUUAAAAAAAACACUUGCUCAUAGGGGGCCUGAGAGCAAUAUACCCGUGACAGCAAAGUUAACUUGAACUCAAAACUAGCCCGAGACAGGGAAACCCUCCAAUUACCGAAAGGCUUAACCCACCCCAUAUCUCUAUGUGAAAAUGGACCUGCCAUCAUCCAUUAUAUUUGAAAUCUACAGAACUACCAUCUAUAUCAAGAUAUACAGACUUUAGACUUCCUUUGUAUUCAGGUAUCGCAGAAUCACAUUGACCUUUAUUGGGUAACAGAAAGAUUUGACCUGCCUCUGCAAUCUGCCCAUGUGAAAUACAUAUGCUGAGCAUUACUAGUGGCUGCAGCAGUGGAGCCUUUGUUCAGGAGAACUUUGCAAAUGAAACUCAAUUAAUCCCUGAAGCUCAAACACAAAGUAAUAAACUUGCCUUUAAUUUUGCAGUGAUAGGCAGCUUGCUUUUCAAAGAAGGCAGAUGACUUUAAUUGCAAAGGUGCCCCUUUAUUUGGACUUCAACAACUUCAGAGCCAAGUUAAAAACCACAGCUGCUUCUUAUUAGAUGCUUAACAUCUGAUCACAAGCCAUUUAAUAUUUUGCUAAUAUUCUUCUGCUGGUUAGAUUGAUUUGAUAGAACAUGUGGUUUGUUUGAAAAUUUUCAAACCAAAGUAUUUUUAAUAGACUUCAAAGGAUUUUAAGAACUAAAUGAUUAGUGUGUUUAUAUUACUAUUCAGAACCAGAAAUAAUUACAUUACUGGAAAAAUAAUAAAAAGAGCUUAAUAUUCUCAUAUGGCGAUUUCAGAUAAAUAAUUACUUUAGUUUCCUGUUCCUUGGCAGUCUGUGGAACGAAACAGAGUAAUGAAUUGUAAUAGAUCAUAGGUAUGCAACUAGUAUUUAUUGAAAUCAACAGUAAUAAACUACACAUUUGUAUAAUUAGUUUACCAGAACCAUUUUCUCCAUUUAUCUCAUUUCUAAUGGCUUUUGACUUUAUAGCUUUUGUAUGGUUCCUGAUCAUUAGCAGUUAUACUGCUGAUAUACUGGGAUCUUACAUACAGUAGCUGAGUGCUUUCAAUGCCUGAAGAAAAGACUGGUGGUUGAAAAGCAUCAGAUCAAAAGCUUGUCCCAUUGAGAAAAGUCAACAAAGUGUUGAAGCUAAUACAAGUAUGGAUCAUUUUCAGGGAUGCAGAUGUAUAUUGCAGAAUAUACAGUACAGCAGGUAGCUUGUUAAAAUUUCAUCUCUAUAUUGCCCAAUUAGGGAGAAUAUACUUGUUUUCUUUGAAAUGUAUCAAGGAAACUCUUUGCUACCAUUGUGCUGGUCUCCAAGUUGAAGGACAACACACAAAUUGCAACAUGCUGUUCACACCUCAGAACAUUUCAAUUAAUCUCCUACCAAGCUGAGCUUGCAGGAAAUAGUACACCAAAAAUGCAAAUUUCCAUAGUUUUUGUUAAAUUUCCUGUUGCAAUGUCACUAAAUAGAAAAAGAAGGGGAUAUUUACAGCUUCAAUCAGCUCCCACUUCCCAUUACUGAUGCACAAAGUACCUCAAUAGGGAAAAAAAAUGUCUUCUAGAUUGGAUUGCAUCCCCAUUCUUAACAGCAAAAUAGAUACAAGUUCACUUCAGUUGCAAUAAUGUGUUGCUUGUGUAAUGCAUUUUUUUGAUGUUUGUUCAAAGCUAAUUAAUAAAUUGUAAUUGAUAGCGCAACCUAAGAAGACAGAUUGCUGCUCUACCACAAGUAAUGUUUUUCUUUCCUGACUGUUUUACGUGCAAUAGAUGGAACUUUUUUCAUACAUUAACCAUUUGACAGUUGUGAUUGAAUUCACGGUCUUUUCCCAAAUAAAAUGUAUUGGCUUGUUGACUUUAUUCAGGAAAUGGAAUCAAUAGCUUAUAGUUUUGAAAUCUAUGAAAUAACAUUCAACAUUAGAAAUUUGCUGAAAAGACAUUCUGGUAUGUACUAUAUUAAAGAAUACUUUUCUGUUUUAAAAUUAACAACAGAGUCUGAUGAUCGAGGCUUCAUAGCUUGUAAUAAGCAGAUGAGCGGGGGUGAGCUGUCUCCUUUUCUUAAGCCUCCUCAAUUGAUUACAACAACAUUUUGAGUUUAUAUUAAUACAAGGAUAUUCCUUUCUCCAAUUAAAACAGUGUUAAUUAUUUUUACUGUAAGCAAUAAGGCCCCAAUCACAAGAUUUUUCAUUAAAGAAAUAAAUCUUGCUCUCUGUCAAAUCCGAGAAAACUAAGAACAAUAACAUGAAGUGUAUGACCUUCAUGUGUGGUCACUAGGGAUCUCAAAAAUACACAAAGUUAAAAGGAGAUAGUGCUGGAGGAGGUGUCCUUGAGAUAUAACUGGUUCCAAUUGUAUUUUCAAAUCAUUCUUUUCAGGUCUGUCUAUGGUGUCAUUGUCUAGUAAUCUACAUUUGUUAAUGUCUUUCUUAGAUUAUAACAGAUUUUGAUGGAUCUGGAUUGUACUGAGUCACCCUUUCCACAGACCACCCAACCUCUGAGGAUGAUUAAUUGGUUCCCUCACCUACACCUUGAGGUGGAGUUGGAUUUUUAAGUAGUUUGCAUUGUCACAAUUCAAUUCCCAUCAGUUCUAACCAGUUGAAACUUUUGAAAAUGAUGUCUUCAAAUACAAAGGGAUGUAGCCUCCUGACAAGUUAUUUUCUCUUAUUCAAGCCUCUUUGCUCUCAUGUAUUCGCAAUUAAUUAUUAACUUUAUUUCUGCUACUCCACAAAAACCUGGUCCCAAUUUUAUUCCUACAAUAAGAAAUAUAUCUCUCCCAUUCCUUCAUCUUUCAUCUGUUAACAGGAAGAUGCAACCAUUAGUAUAAAACAGUGUAGUUGCUAAUUGCUAUAUAAAUCAAUGAGUAUGGUGAUCUACUCAGCAGUUGGAUUCCAUUUAUAACUUGUUGUUUUCUAGUGUAAAAACAGCACUUGUUAUUUGGGAUGCUCACUUUUAAGAAUAGCCAUGGAAAAUGAUCACAACUACAUAUAAAUUCAAUGAUGUAAAUUCUGUUUAUCUUAAAAAUCAAGCAUCCCAUCACUUGCAAAUUAAAUAUAUAAGUCAUGUUUGA